AAUCGAAUUGAAAAUUGAAAAAGAACUUGAUCUGGGCAAGUCUGAAAUCUCAAAUGUAACAAACAAACACCCAAUUGGCAACGGCGCCAAAUUGAUAAUAGGCUUUUAAGAUCAAUUAAUCCUAAAGCACUAUCAUGUCGUUGUAGUACUGAAGGUUGUCAAUCCAAAUGAGUGUGAUGCUAACAAUCAAGAUGUGAUCAGAAGUCACUAAGUCAAGCCAAGCAAUAACAGGUUGUGGUGUGUUCUAGCAAUCCUAAGUGAACAUGCAGAAAACAGAAAAUCAAGUAGAAACAAUAAAAUACUCGACCAACACAGCUCUUUGCAGAGCACUGGUUGAGAUCGAGUGACAGGUCGAGUAGCAGACAGAAAAUAAAACACAGAUACUCGACUGCACAGUCUGUUGCCAGACAACUGGGUUGUCGAGUAACAAGAAAAAAUUGCAGAAAUUAAGCAACAGAUGACAAGAUGCAGUAAACAACAGUAGAGUAAAUAAAGAAUUCAAUCAGAUAAAGAAUUCCCGAGGAUGGGGUAAUUGAGUAGUUUCGUUUCCUUAGUUUACAGGUGAUUGACAUGCUCAAUAAAUUAUCCCUAGACAACGAGUUCAUUAAUCACAUCUAAGUGCCACCGCAACAGAGACCCUCAAGUUAACCUAGUCCCAGACUGAAUCACCAUUGACGAGAACUAACCUAACAGGCAUUACGAAUCAACAAGUUUAAACCAAAACGCUCCCUGCAACCAAUACCUUGGUACAAGGCCACGAAUCUCUGGAAUUAGUGGUUCAGACAUUUCAUCGAACACCUUUUGGGCGCGGAAAUGUCUAGGCUCAAAUUCUAGUUGAUCAGAAAGCAAUAGGCAUUAAGAACAACUAAUCCAGAAGGGAUCUAUCAAUCAAUACUCAAUCACCUAGCAUACUGAGAAUUCUACACUACUCUAACCCAUCCCCAGAAACCUAUUCACUACUCAGACAUCAUAGCAGAAAGCAUAAACGUUGAACAGGUUGAAAACAUGAUAACAACAGGAUGAUAACAGAAUGAACAACAGUAAAAGAAAUUAAGAACGAAUGCUGAAUACUGAAUAGACAAAGAGAAAUCCGGAUUACAAAGGUCUAGAACACAGUGUCUGCGGAAUAAAACUAGAUAAAAACUUGUUUUCGAAAAUGUGAAGUACAUGCUACUUAUAGCCAAAUAUUUCGAAACCCUAAUACUUAAAACGACGCAGUAUUGGGACGGAUUAAGAACUAUACUCGACCCAUGUGGUCGAGUGGGAGGUCGAGUGAAUAGCUGGAGUCUUCUUUUCUUCCUUGAGCUCGAGUGUCUGGUUGAGUGCGGAAUGAAGAAGACUCUGAAGCUUGCCAUCGAGUAUGUAGUCGAGUAGUGGUGAUGGUGAUACUCGACUUCCUGGUAGAGUGAUGUGGUCGAGUGAUGAUCAGGUAAUGGAGGUGAAGACACUCGACCACGGGGUCGAGUGAUGUGAUCGAGUGAUGGUCAAGUGAUGGGGAUGAAGACACUCGACCUAGGGGUCGAGUGAUGUGAUGAAAUCGAGAAGUCCUCUACUCGACCAGGUGAUCGAGUGGUCUCUUGAGAUCUUGAAGCUCAUACUCGACCACGGGGUCGAGUGGUUUGACAUGAUCAGGUCCGCUUCUUCCAGUUAGCUCGUCAACAGCUCCAAAUCACCUGAAAUCAACACAAAUAUGCAACAUGCAUGCAAACCUAUCCUAAACAUGUAAAGUGAUGACAAAUGAUGAGAAAUGGUAUAAAACAGUGAUGAUAUGAUGUUAAAGUGAUGACAAAUGGAUUCUCAAAACAUGCAAAAUACACACUUAUCAGAGUCGAAUAUGACUUGAUGUGAUGUGUAUGAUUGAGUAUAAGAAAUUCAACCGCAACCGGAUCUUAAAAGCCUAAGUAGUGUUUCCUUGUUAUAAGAUACAAAGGCAAAGCCUCAUACGGACUUUAGCUAUACCAUCAAAGCCUUGAGAAGCAAGAAGAAGCUUGGUUAGUGUUUUGGAGUCAAAUAUUACUAGAUGUCAUGUGUAUGAGUGAGUAUGACAACUAGAACCAUAACCGGAUCUUAAAAACCUAAGUAUUGAAUCUUUGUUAGAAGAUACAAUGACAAAGACUCAUACGGAAUUCGGCUAAACCAUCAAAGGUUUUAGAAGCAAGAAGAAGCUUGGUUAGUGUUUUGAAGUGAAAUAUGACUAGAUGUCAUGUGUACGAGUGAGUAUACCUACUAGAACCACAACCGGAUCUUAAAAGCCUAAGUGUUGUUUCCUUGUUAGAAGAUACAAAGGCAAAGCCUCAUACAAACUUUAGCUAUACCAUCAAAGCCUUGAGAAGCAAGAAGAAGCUUGGUUAGUGUUUUGGAGUCAAAUAUUACUAAAUGUCAUGUGUAUGAGUGAGUAUAAAAACUAGAACCGCAAUGGAUCUUAAAAGCCUAAAUAUUGUAUCCUUGUUAGAAGAUACAUAGACAAAGACUCAUACGAAAUUCGGCUAAACCAUCAAAGCUUUUAGAAGCAAGAAGAAGCUUGGUUAGUGUUUUGGAGUGAAAUAUGACUAGAUGUCAUGUGUAUGGGUGAGUAUACCAUCUAGAACCGCAAUUGGAAUUUUAAAAGCCUAAGUAUUGUAUCCUUGUUAGAAGAUACAAAGACAAACACUCAUACGGACUUUGGCUACACCAUCAAAGCUUUGAGAAGCAAGAAGAAGCUUGGUUAGUGUUUUGGAGUCCAAUAUGACUUGAUGUGAUGUGUAUGAUUGAGUAUAAGAAAUUAAACCGUAACUGGAUCUUAAAAGCCUAAGUGGUGUUUCCUUGUUAGAAGAUACAAAGGCAAAGCCUCAUACAGACUUUAGCUAUACCAUCAAAGCCUUGAGAAGCAAGAAGAAGCUUGGUUAGUGUUUUGGAGUCAAAUAUUACUAGAUGUUAUGUGUAUGAGUGAGUAUGACAACUAUAACCAUAAUCGGAUCUUUAAAACCUAAGUAUUGAAUCUU
RNAcentral lists this small RNA (2981 nucleotides) under Arabidopsis thaliana (thale cress). RNAcentral describes it as "ATSL269900". The record is from RNAcentral. Lineage: Eukaryota; Viridiplantae; Streptophyta; Magnoliopsida; Brassicales; Brassicaceae.